UGGCAGUCUUCAGAAUCUGAGCUAAAUCUUCUUCUGUUAUAGUACCGUUUUCUGACUGGUAUAGCUGAAAUGCCAGUUGGAUUGUUUCCAGAGUUUUGGAUGGCUUACAGACAACUGAUAGAGCAAUGACAAAUUCUCGAACAUCAAUUAUGCCAUCUUCAUUCUCAUCAAAAAGGGCAAACAUACUUUCUAACGUGUGAGAAACUGGAAAUUCCAAAUAUGCUGAAAAUUGUUUAAGACCAGCCUUCUCUUUUUUCAUUUUCAUAGCACGUGUAGCAUAUUUAUCAAGAUCAUCCUCAAGUGUUUC
Molecule: long non-coding RNA, 307 nt
Filed under: Gallus gallus (chicken)
Lineage: Eukaryota; Metazoa; Chordata; Aves; Galliformes; Phasianidae
Source: RNAcentral